RNAcentral lists this ribosomal RNA (1065 nucleotides) under Tetraphyllidea sp. 48 NJ-2013. Its description in RNAcentral is "bacterial SSU rRNA". It matches the Rfam family "Eukaryotic small subunit ribosomal RNA", at positions 878 to 1831 of the family's 1831-position model. The record is from RNAcentral. Lineage: Eukaryota; Metazoa; Platyhelminthes; Cestoda; Tetraphyllidea.
CUCCCUUUUUGCGACCCCGCAGAUUCGGGUAGAGUGAAAUCUUGGAAAGGUAGCCAGACAAACUAAAGCGAAAGCAUUCGUCAAGCAUGUUUUCAUUGGCCAUGAGCGAAAGUCAGAGGCUCGAAGACGAUCAGAUACCGUCCUAGUUCUGACCAUAAACGAUGCCAACUGACGAUCCGUGGUGGUAGCACAUCAACCUUCCCCACGGGCAGUCCCCGGGAAACCAUUAAGUCUUUGGGUUCCGGGGGAAGUAUGGUUGCAAAGCUGAAACUUAAAGGAAUUGACGGAAGGGCACCACCAGGAGUGGAGCCUGCGGCUUAAUUUGACUCAACACGGGAAAACUCACCCGGCCCGGACACUGUGAGGAUUGACAGAUUGAUAGCUCUUUCUUGAUUCAGUGGUUGGUGGUGCAUGGCCGUUCUUAGUUGGUGGAGCGAUUUGUCUGGUUAAUUCCGAUAACGAACGAGACUCCAGCCUGCUAAUUAGUGUAUCCGUCCACUGUUCCUGUGUGUGCGGCGUCCGACAAGGCUGCUUCCGUUCGCCCGAGUCGUGGUCUACGGGCCGUGACGAGGGCUGGUUGUGGCUGGCUCGGCGUUAGCAUCCGGGUACGGCGCGGUUACCUACUUCUUAGAGGGACAAACGGAAAAAAAGACGUACGAAAUUGAGCAAUAACAGGUCUGUGAUGCCCUUAGAUGUCCGGGGCCGCACGCGCGCUACAAUGACGGUGCCAACGAGUCUGACCUUCUGGCCCGAAAGGGUUGGGCAAACUGGUCAAUCACCGUCAUGACAGGGAUCGGGGCUUGGAAUUGUUCCCCGUGAACGAGGAAUUCCUAGUAAGUGCAAGUCAUAAGCUUGCGCUGAUUACGUCCCUGCCCUUUGUACACACCGCCCGUCGCUACUACCGAUUGAAUGGUUUAGUAAGGUCCUUGGAUCGGCGCCAUUGUGGCGGCUGCCGAAAGGUAGUCGUCCGACGUGUGCUGAGAAGACGACCAAACUUGAUCAUUUAGAGGAAGUAAAAUCGUACAAGACGUCCUAAUAACAAACACAAAAUAUAUAUAAUAGAUU